This 764-nucleotide ribosomal RNA is filed under the name uncultured bacterium. RNAcentral describes it as "bacterial SSU rRNA". It matches the Rfam family "Bacterial small subunit ribosomal RNA", at positions 8 to 798 of the family's 1533-position model. The record is from RNAcentral.
AGAGUUUGAUCAUGGCUCAGGAUGAAUGCUGGCGGCGUGCCUAACACAUGCAAGUCGAGCGGCAGCGAGGGGUGCUUGCACCCUGUCGGCGAGCGGCGAACGGCUGAGUAACGCGUAGGAAUUUGCCCCAAAGUGAGGAAUAACUGCCCGAAAGGGUAGCUAAUGCCGCAUAUGGUCUUCGGAUUAAAGGAUUUAUCCGCUUUGGGAGAAGCCUGCGUUGGAUUAGGUUGUUGGUAGGGUAAUGGCCUACCAAGCCGACGAUCCAUAGCUGGUCUGAGAGGAUGAUCAGCCAGACUGAAACUGAGACACGGUCCAGACUCCUACGGGAGGCAGCAGUGAGGAAUCUUCCACAAUGGGCGAAAGCUUGAUGGAGCAACGCCGCGUGAAGGAUGAAGGCCUUCGGGUUGUAAACUUCUUUUAUGAGUGAAGAAUAUGACGGUAACUCAUGAAUAAGCACCGGCUAACUACGUGCCAGCAGCCGCGGUCAUACGUAGGGUGCAAGCAUUAUCCGGAGUGACUGGGCGUAAAGAGUUGCGUAGGCGGUUUAAUAAGUGAAUAGUGAAACCUGGUGGCUCAACCAUACAGACUAUUAUUCAAACUGUUAAACUCGAGAAUGGUAGAGGUAACUGGAAUUUCUUGUGUAGGAGUGAAAUCCGUAGAUAUAAGAAGGAACACCAAUGGCGUAGGCAGGUUACUGGGCCAUUUCUGACGCUAAGGCACGAAAGCGUGGGGAGCGAACCGGAUUAGAUACCCUGGUAGUCCAA